UACGUAGGGUGCGAGCGUUGUCCGGAAUUACUGGGCGUAAAGAGCUCGUAGGCGGUUUGUCGCGUCUGCCGUGAAAAUCCGGGGCUCAACCCCGGACUUGCGGUGGGUACGGGCAGACUAGAGUGUGGUAGGGGAGACUGGAAUUCCUGGUGUAGCGGUGAAAUGCGCAGAUAUCAGGAGGAACACCGAUGGCGAAGGCAGGUCUCUGGGCCACUACUGACGCUGAGAAGCGAAAGCGUGGGGAGCGAACAGG
Molecule: ribosomal RNA, 253 nt
Filed under: uncultured bacterium
Lineage: Bacteria
Description: partial 16S ribosomal RNA
Rfam family: Bacterial small subunit ribosomal RNA
Source: RNAcentral